CUUGGUCAUUUAGAGGAAGUAAAAGUCGUAACAAGGUUUCCGUAGGUGAACCUGCGGAAGGAUCAUUAAUGAAUUAAAGUCGGUCUUCUGUGCUGGUGGUGACACAUGUGCACGUUGAUCGCAAAUCCACACACCUGUGCACCUUUGACUUUAGGAUCCGCUUGUUGGCUUGUCUGACUUGCAGCUGAUGUUGGUUUUGUGCUCAUCUGGAUCUUAGAGUAAUUUUACACACUCUGAAUGUAAUGGAAUGUUCCUGUGCAUAAUGCGCAAAAUACAACUUUCAACAACGGAUCUCUUGGCUCUCGCAUCGAUGAAGAACGCAGCGAAAUGUGAUAAGUAGUGUGAAUUGCAGAAUUCAGUGAAUCAUCGAAUCUUUGAACGCACAUUGCGCCCCUCGGUAUCCCGGGGGGCAUGCCUGUUCGAGCGUCAUUUCUACCAUUCAAGCUUGCUUGGUUUUGGGUAUUGUAGCACUCUUAAUUUAGGGGUCUACAUAUCUUAAAUGUAGACGGCAGCAAGUAUAAGUUCUGAGCGUAGCAGUAAUAACAUUUCGCUUUUAGAAACUAUAUUUGUUAACCGGAAAAGUAUAUUUACAGUUUGACCUCGGAUCAGGCAGGGAUACCCGCUGAACUUAAGCAUAUCAAUAAGCGGAGGA
This 652-nucleotide ribosomal RNA is filed under the name uncultured fungus. Its description in RNAcentral is "eukaryotic LSU rRNA". The stretch from base 276 to 429 matches the Rfam family "5.8S ribosomal RNA". The record is from RNAcentral. Lineage: Eukaryota; Fungi.